RNAcentral lists this long non-coding RNA (360 nucleotides) under Pan troglodytes (chimpanzee). Its description in RNAcentral is "lincRNA". Lineage: Eukaryota; Metazoa; Chordata; Mammalia; Primates; Hominidae. The record is from RNAcentral.
UCCAACAAGGACUCCUACGUCCCUCCCCGGCUAACCUGGAUCCUGCUCAACCCAACACCUGCCUUCUCUCAGUCCCUGGGUUCCCGCAGGCCUUGGGGCCCCACAGUCAUAUCUGCUAUUCCUGCAGCUCAGCACAGUCACAGCAACUCUCCAAAUCAUGACGCUCAAAACGCCACAUCUAAAAAGAACAUCCGGGCUCUGCCCCUAAGAAAGUAAAUUCAUGCACCUACAAAGAGAAAGGAACGGCACAGCCAUCCACCUUUCAACUCCUGAGUUUCCAUCUGCACCCUUCAACACUUAUGAGGACUUACGUGAAACUAUGUGACAACUUUUUAUUUCUAUUAAACAAAAUACAGCUUU